UACGUAGGGUGCAAGCGUUAAUCGGAAUUACUGGGCGUAAAGCGUGCGCAGGCGGUUAUGUAAGUCCGUUGUGAAAUCCCCGGGCUCAACCUGGGAACUGCAUCUGUGACUGCAUAGCUAGAGUACGGUAGAGGGGGAUGGAAUUCCGCGUGUAGCAGUGAAAUGCGUAGAUAUGCGGAGGAACACCGAUGGCGAAGGCAAUCCCCUGGACCUGUACUGACGCUCAUGCACGAAAGCGUGGGGAGCAAACAGG
RNAcentral lists this ribosomal RNA (253 nucleotides) under uncultured bacterium. Its description in RNAcentral is "partial 16S ribosomal RNA". It matches the Rfam family "Bacterial small subunit ribosomal RNA", at positions 524 to 776 of the family's 1533-position model. The record is from RNAcentral.